Molecule: ribosomal RNA, 450 nt
Filed under: uncultured bacterium
Lineage: Bacteria
Description: partial 16S ribosomal RNA
Rfam family: Bacterial small subunit ribosomal RNA
Source: RNAcentral
GUGGGGAAUUUUGGACAAUGGGCGCAAGCCUGAUCCAGCAAUGCCGCGUGCAGGAAGAAGGCCUUCGGGUUGUAAACUGCUUUUGUACGGAACGAAACGGUCCGGGUUAAUACCCUGGGCUAAUGACGGUACCGUAAGAAUAAGCACCGGCUAACUACGUGCCAGCAGCCGCGGUAAUACGUAGGGUGCAAGCGUUAAUCGGAAUUACUGGGCGUAAAGCGUGCGCAGGCGGUUUUGUAAGACAGGCGUGAAAUCCCCGGGCUCAACCUGGGAAUUGCGCUUGGGACUGCAAGGCUGGAGUGCGGCAGAGGGGGAUGGAAUUCCGCGUGUAGCAGUGAAAUGCGUAGAUAUGCGGAGGAACACCGAUGGCGAAGGCAAUCCCCUGGGCCUGCACUGACGCUCAUGCACGAAAGCGUGGGGAGCAAACAGGAUUAGAAACCCGUGUAGUCC